CAAGAAAUAAGCCUAACAUGAAAUAAGAAAGAUCUACUGGGCAUUGAUCUCUCUCGCUUGCUCAGCCCUGUCUUUGCUCAUGCUGUGCCUUUUCCCUUGCAGCGUGUCUCAGCAAGUUCCCCUGGCUCCAACAUCACACACUCAUCUGAGGGUAACUUUUCGUCACUAUUCAGCACUGAGCCCCGGAGUCUCCUCUCAGCUCCUUGUUUGAACUCAGAUGUCACAGAUAGAAUUAGUGUGUCCUUAUGAGCUGCACCCUUCACACGAGUAUCAAAACAGCUUAUUUAUUUUCUUACAUUUGUUUGCAUAAACAACUACAUGUAUUUUUCAAACUCCUUGGUAAAAGCCAUGUGCUAUUCAAAAUUUAAUCUUAUUUAACUAUUUUUAAUUAUAAAAUAGUACAAAAU
This 407-nucleotide long non-coding RNA is filed under the name Homo sapiens (human). RNAcentral describes it as "HSALNT0299684". The record is from RNAcentral. Lineage: Eukaryota; Metazoa; Chordata; Mammalia; Primates; Hominidae.